GCCAGACUCCUACGGGAGGCAGCAGUGGGGGAUAUUGCACAAUGGGGGGAACCCUGAUGCAGCGACGCCGCGUGGGUGAAGAAGCGCCUCGGCGCGUAAAGCCCUGUCAGCAGGGAAGAAAAUGACGGUACCUGAAGAAGAAGCCCCGGCUAACUACGUGCCAGCAGCCGCGGUAAUACGUAGGGGGCAAGCGUUAUCCGGAUUUACUGGGUGUAAAGGGGGCGCAGACGGCGAUGCAAGCCAGGAGUGAAAGCCCGGGGCCCAACCCCGGGACUGCUCUGGAAACUGCGUCGCUGGAGUACGGGAGGGGCAGGCGGAAUUCCUGGUGUAGCGGUGAAAUGCGUAGAUAUCAGGAGGAACACCGGCGGCGAAGGCGGCCUGCUGGACCGUGACUGACGUUGAGGCUCGAGAGCGUGGGGAGCAAACAGGAUUAGAUACCCUAGUAGGU
This 448-nucleotide ribosomal RNA is filed under the name uncultured bacterium. RNAcentral describes it as "bacterial SSU rRNA". It matches the Rfam family "Bacterial small subunit ribosomal RNA", at positions 330 to 794 of the family's 1533-position model. The record is from RNAcentral.